UAUGAAAUGUAAAAUCAAUAUCUUCAUUGAAAUUCUCAAAGCAAAAUCCAUAUUACAAAUAUGUAAUGAAUCGAAAAGAACCGAACAAAACUUAUAUACGAUAAACAUACAUGAUGUAAUUAGAGACUCGUAUAUUGCAAGUCCAACUUCAUUGGGUUUUUUUUUUGUUUCAUUUGAAUUGAUCUGUAACAUUCAAAAGUUCAAAUUUACAGCGUCCCAUGUAACAUUUUCUACAAUUGAAAACCGACAUUUGAUAUAAAAUCUAAUGCUCACCAUCAAGCUUUAAACAUGUCUCUACGAUUUAUACCUACUAUCGCCAAAGUUGAGGCCAUUUCAUUUCCUUUCUUAUCUGCCAUUGAAAAUACAACACUACCUACCUUUUCAAUUUUCCUCUCAAUAUCUGCAAAUGUUGAUUGUACUGACCAUGGUCUCAUU
RNAcentral lists this long non-coding RNA (435 nucleotides) under Gossypium barbadense (sea-island cotton). RNAcentral's name for it is "long non-coding RNA (GBAR_LNC013194)". Lineage: Eukaryota; Viridiplantae; Streptophyta; Magnoliopsida; Malvales; Malvaceae. The record is from RNAcentral.